GCGGGGGUUGUCUGACUGGAAAAUAACUUUUUACCCCCCACAAACACACCGUUUGUUUGAUGUUCCACUGACAUUUGUAAAAUCCUCUUAAAAAGAAAUUGCUGACGCAGACGACAAGUUCAGAGAUUACACGUGACAGCCUUCUUGACACGAAGAACAGACAGGCGGUAUUAUCGAUCGACUUUCACCACGAAUGUGAUUUUGUAAAUAAAAGAAAUAAAAACGCCGCCAGCGCUCGUUGCCUAACAUAAUACACUGGGAAUCCCGAAUACAGCUGAGCAGGUAGUAGGUCUUCUUCGUCGACAGCGAGCAGACGAUACAACAUCGACGACAGACGGUCUUUUAGUAUGAAUGAGGACAAGUCGAUCAAACUUCCAUUACGUGUGUGAUUUAAAAAAAAAAAAAGUACAACUCUAGCAGUCGUUGCCUAACAUAAUACAAUGGAGUUGACGGACUGAGUACAGGGAACCCGGUAGCAGCUCUACUUCGUAGCCAGCGAGCAGACGAUCCAACAUGGACGACAGAGGUUCCAAAGUGGGUAACGGCAAGUCGAUCAAACUUCAGACGUCUAUUACCCUGUUCUCAGCUACAGCGCUUCUUCUGUCGAACACCGGCGGAGGGAGCAUUUUCAUAGCCUCUACGUCUAUGCUCAUUUACGGCGGUUCUCCGGGCGUCGCCUUGAUUUUCUGGCUUGUCGGAGGAUUGCUCAACUUCGGCCUGGCUUUCUGUUAUAUAGAGGUUGCCCUCUUGUUACCUAAAAGUGGCGGAGCUUAUUACUACGUCAAGGAAGUGUUCGGAGCGUUCCCGGCGUUUGUGUUGUUGUGGGGUUUCGUCCUCACUAUCUGCGCACCUGCCUGGGCACUGUCCUGCUACACAGCCGCACUGUACGUCAUCACGAUGUUAUUCCCAGAGUGUCCUCCGCCAGACGUGGCCACGAAGGUGCUAGCAGCAUGGUUUAUGGUGACGAUGAUUGUUUUGAACUGUCUGUAUAUGAAGUACGUCAUCAGAGUCCAGGCACUGCUCAGUGCUGGGAAGAUGAUCGCCAUGCUCAUCAUAAUCGCGGCAUGUUUCACUGCUAUUGGAUCAAGCUCGAGUGUAGAUAACAUAAACGCCAUGUUUCGCGGUUCUACUACCGAUCCUGGAAAUAUCGCCCUGGGUUUGGCAUCGGGCUACUUCGCAUUUGGUGGUUGGCAAAUGAUAACAAUUAUAAUAGAGGAAGUGGAAAAUCCAUUGGUAAAUGUGCCUCGAGCCUUGUAAUACAUUCACCACUCUGAUAUUACUGAGUGUGGUCGUUAACCUCUGCUACUUCAUCGUCCUUCCUGCACGAGAUGUCCUCCUGUCAGACGCCGUGGCUGUGCUCUAUGUCUACCGUAUCCACCCGGCUUUGGCGGUGGUUAUAUCGGUACUGGUCACCACCUGUUCUGUUAGCGUGCUCAACAGUCUCAUUCUGGGACAGCCGAG
Molecule: RNA transcript, 1461 nt
Organism: Gigantopelta aegis
Lineage: Eukaryota; Metazoa; Mollusca; Gastropoda; Neomphalida; Peltospiridae
Gene name: large neutral amino acids transporter small subunit 1-like
Exons: 6
Source: RefSeq, a predicted model, not a curated record